UUCACCUUGCAAAACCAAAGAUCACUGGGGACACCAUCCACUGCCUACUCACCAGUGGAGGCAAAGCAACUGCAAUUACACAAGAGAUUAGGAAACCAAACAUACGUGUGAGGCGUAAUAUACAUAAAGCAACAAGUGAAGACUAUUGAAAACUUUGCAAAACCAGAGAUCACUGGAGACACCGUCCACUGCCUACUCACCAUCGGAGGCAAAGCAACUGCAAUUACACAAAAGCUUAGGAAACCAAACAUGCGUGUGAGGUGAAAUAUACAUAAAGCAAAGAAUGAAGACUCUAGAAAGCUUUUGCCGCCCAACCGCCCACUAACUUAAUAGUAAUUGCUGACUACCAAAGUGAAGAGCCACGCGGACAGAGCAUUGCUGACUACCAAAAUGAAGAGCCACGCGGACAGAGCAAGGUUACAAUGCAAGAGAGCCAGCGGACAAAAGCAAAAUACCAGCAGAGCCACUGACACCCAUCAGCAAAAGACCAAAACGCCCCUCAAGCUCACACAAAUAACGGCAUAACCGGCCCAUUUUUUACUGUUCACAAGCGGAUUCUCGCUUUAUAUAUGUAAGACUAGAUGUUUUGCCCUGACGCUAUGCGUCAGGUAGGUAGGAAAGAAUUGUUUAGUUGGUAAGAAUAGCAAGUUGAGAAAGGUGAGGCUGUGGCGGUGGUUUGUACUGGCGUUAGCCAGGUGUUGUUUAUGUGAUUUUGUAGUAUCUGAUUUGUAGUUUGCAUGAGUAGGAUUGCUACUUGUGUUUCAUGCGUUGAUUGUGUCAGGAAAAAAUUGCCAAGUUGUGCUGAUUUUCUUUGUACGUGGCCAGUUUCUUGCUACUAUAUAUAAGGACCUUCGUGUUUUGGGAAUGGUUAUGUGUGAUAUAUUUUUGGUUUGCUAGGUAGUAGUUUGUAUUUGCAAAGUGUGUGUUUUUUUCAGUUGGAUGGAGUCGCAGUGUGUUAGUGUUUGCGGAUUGAAUGAUAGAAUUCGAGGAUGGAUUGCUAAGUUAGUUGUCGUGGAAAAAACUUUAUUUCGGCGACCGCGGAAUUCGACUCGAAUGUUUUUUCGAGUUGUUUUUGCUGAUGCUUCUGUAAGGGCUUCUUAGACUUGUUUUUGUAAGUUUUAUUGUGUUUUUGUUUUGUUGAUAUGGAUAAUAGGUAUCUCUCUUUUUUUCAGGGUGAUACAAUUCAAGGAAUAACAUAUUUAUCUGAUCUGGAUGCUAUGGAUUGUGCAUUGGAGUUGCAUGGGACAUAUUAUAUUGCAAAUGCCACUAUACAGUGUCUACGUAGUUCACGGAUGCAGAUUGGGAUGGUUCCAUAUGAGAUUAUUAUAUCACAUAAUACUGUGAUUAAUCGUGUUUUACCUGAGCAUGCAUUAUCGGUGGAAAAUUUCUAUGAACUGACUCGUUUUUGCGAUUUGGAUUCUUUGAGGGUUAAUCCAAAUGCAAGGAUAAGUAUAACUUUUUUUUUGUUUUUUUGGUUGUGGUGUAUUAGUAAGUUUAGGUAUUAUUGGUGUGAUUGCAGGCUAAUUUGUUAUUUUUAUAUGAUAGCUUUGCUUGGUGUAGCUGUUUAUGCUGGUCCGGCAAUAUUUUACGCCAUCGGAAAUAGACAAGUUCAUCUGCAAGAGUUUAUUAUCUUGAAUGAAGAGUAUGUUAUCAGUUUCUGUAUGGUUAGUUAAUAUAGUUAUAAUUAUAUUUUUUAAUUGUGUUUGUUUAAUUUUAGUGUGUAUAUAAUUUUUGCAGGAGGAUACCAAUAGUGUUUUCAGUAUGGGAUGAUUAUUUUGAGGAUGAUGGCAUGCAUUUAGUUGAACUUAUCAACGAGCGACCAGUUGUUAUGAUUUGUCGUCCACGUAUUAGUCAUCUUCAUGGUAUAUGGGUUUGAUUUUAGUUUUCUAUUAUUUAUUUAUGGUUGUGUCUAGGAUUUUGUUUAUGUAGAUAUUUUUUGUAUUUUUUUUUAUUCGCAGGUCUUUCUAUUGCAACUCAAGCGACUACCAUUAUUAUGUAUAAUCCUAAUUUGCUCGUGGCUCAGCAGCUAAGGCAUUGGUAUGAUACAUUUGUUGGUGAUACUGGCUUUUGAGCAAUGAAAGUGAAGGAUUUUUGGCAUCGCUUGUGGUGAUAUUUCUGUUGGUGUUAUAAUAGCUAGUAUCUAAGAGUGAUUUGUGCAUAGUUGUAGUUUUGGUGUGGUAUGUUACGGUUGUUAUUUCAUUGAUGUUAUAAUAGUUGGUAUGUAAUAGUGGUUUGUGAAUAUUGGACGUUUGAUUUUCCUCUUUUUUUUUUUUCCUUUGGCUGGUUUGGAGUGGUAUCAUUGAAUCUAAGUUUGUUUUUUUAAGAAGUAUUUUUUGGUGAAUUAUUUGAUUGUUUUUAGAAGGAUUUUUUAGAUAUCUUCUUGUUAUAUUUUGCUUAAUAUUUAUGUAGCUGUAAUUGAAUUAUGCUGAUGCGGUAUAAUUGUGUAUAAGAAGAAGAAAUCAAACUUUAAGCAAUGUAUAUGUAAGAUAUGUGCGAAUUUGAGUAGGAACAGGAUAAGUAGUUAUAUCUUACAUAUAUUUCAUUUACAAGAGCAACAAGAGCAAGAUAUAUUCAAAAGUGGCCUUGCUAAACUAACUGGCGUUUAUGUACAUUCCGCGCCUUAGGUAUAAAAGUGUCUAAGCAGGGUCUGCAUUAGCCAUUUGCAAUAUUGCUGAGGUUGAUUAUAGAUAUAAUAUUGAUGGUAGGGCUGAGCAAAAGUGAUAGAAGGUGUGCUGAGUGAGAGAUUUAGAAGGUGCUGAGGUGUUUAUGGCUUUGGGCGUUUGUUGUGGGCUUCUUGAACUGGCUGAAGGGGGUGUUUUGAUGUUGUUUGUUGCUUGAUUGACGUAAUUUGGUCAUUGAUGGUGGUAUCGAUUGAUGGUUCAUGUGUAGGUUCUUGGGAUGUGCUUGGUUCGGUAGAGUCAAUCACAGUUGUGAUCUGAAGGUUACUGUUGUCGGCGGCUAGAUGGGGAAUAGUGUUUGGGGUCGGAGGGAUUGUAAGAUAAGCAACAACAAUGUAUCGUGCAGGCUGAAGUGUUUCUGAUGGUCGAAUGAUAUUUCGUAGUUGGAUGUAGAAUUGGGUAUCUUGGAGGUUGUUAUUGAUUAGCUGGAUGUUGAUUUGUUCAUGUAUCUUUUGCAUGUUUAUGAUUUGCUCGGCUGACAUUUGAAGAAUAGACUCUGCAUAUUUGUCUUCAAUUAAUGCUGGUAGAAUACUUGUACCAUCAAAGAGUUGAACUUCAAAACGGAGCCUGCCAUUACAUCAAAUUGUUAAGCAUAAUAUUAGAAUAGGUACAAAAUUAAGUAGUAAUUGAUAAAGCAUAGAAAUUAAAUGCGAACCUUGGUAAUGGUUUUUGGUAAGUGAGAUGGCAGUAAAAGCAUUUGAAUUCUGUAUCAGUAUCAGCUCCUGUUGGUUUUGAACAAUCAGGUUUUGGACAACUUAGGUAGUAAAAACGUGUGUUUGUCACUGAGAUACGAAUCUGAGCCUUUAUCCAAAAGGGCCUGGUCUGUGAUUUCAUACGAUAUAUGUUAGGUAUUGGUAAUUUUAUCUGCAACUGAUUAAUAGCAGUAUGAUUAAGACUUACAUGUUCAGCUGUCAUAGGAAUUGUCGCUAUUUCUUGUAGUUGUGCAGUGGUUGGUGGAUGGAUAAUUUGAUUUGCUUUUUCAUAUAGUCUUUCUUUGAUUAUUGUUUGUAUGUAACAGCUAUUUUCCUUUAUCCUGCAUAAAAGUUGGGUUUAUGAAUCUGGUUGAUAUGAGGAUUAUAUAGUUUAAAUUAAUAGGAUUACCAGUUUCUCAAAGCUGUGGCUUGGGGGAUUUCUGGAUUGAAUAAUAUGAUAGUGGUUGCUUGUGUUCCCAGAGAAAUUGCUGCAAUUGAAUGUAAAUAAGAAUAUAGAUUGUGAAGGUGUGUGAUAAUUUUAUAUAGUUGUAAAUUUGUAUCAGAAAAUAAUAUGCUUACUGUGAUACGAGUUGACUUUUGGUCUAGCCAGUAAGAUGAUAGGUUGCUGAGGUGCCAUUGCUUUUAAUUGCGAUCCUUCGACAGAUAAGAAUUCUUCCCAUAUCGUAAAAGUCAUUGGUCGUUUUCUGCAUGUAUAGAAGUGUAAAUAUUAUGAAUUAGUAACAUAUGGUAGAGAAUAACUUUUAGUUAGAAUUGGCAAGUACUCUUCAUUAACGACAGCAAAUUCUUGGAUCGGCACAUAUCGUUUUCCUCUUGGCACUAAGCGAGGAGGUAGCGCAUGCAGGACAGCACAGAGGAUAUCUGUACAUCAGAGAUCAAUUGUAUUUAGACUACAUGUUUUGUAAAAGGCAGUGUAAGGCAGUGGAUGAAAAUCAUACUUAUUCUUGUUGAGUAAUCGCCAAUGUAAUUAUGUAGCUGUGUAAAGGGUGUUAAUUCAUAGCAAUCAUCAGAGGGCAAUGCAUCAUGUGAUGAAACAGCCUGAAUAAAUGUUCUUUUCGAGAUUGUUAACUGAUAUGGUGAAGAUGCAAGAUAAAAAGGGAUGCUUAUUUUUGUAACCCAAGCAUUUCCAAUGUAGUAGGUGGAAUAAAGCUGAAGAAUUGGCUCGAUAUCUUGAAUGUCUCUUUCGAAAAUAGUUCCUUGGAUGGUGUUUUUCUGCAUUUAAAAAUUGAAGAGAUGUAAUGAGUGAUUUUGUGUAUAAGUGUGUGUGAUAAUAGGUAGAUGAAUAAAAAUUUAUUUGGUUUGAUAUAUCUCACCAUAGCAUCAGCGAACACUAAUUUUUGAUAUGGCCUUCCAUCUUCUUUGCUAUAACGAAUUGCACUUUUUUCUAUCACAAUAAGUUUAGCAAACCAAUUUGAGUUCGUGUCUGUUAACUUUGGUAUCAGAACGCAUUUUCCCUCCAUGUUGAUACUGAAAAAAGAGGGAGCAAAGUAAAAUUAAUUAAUAAGUAAAGUAAAAGUUUCUAUGUAUUAUAUAUGUGAAGGAUUUAGUUUCAGGAGAGCUUGUUUGAAUGCAUUGCAAAAGAAAGCUAGGAAUGAAAUUACCUGGAUAGAUUGGAGAGCAAAGAUUCAGAAGCACAAGAAGAGGUUUGCGAAUCUGUGCAAGCUAAUGAGAUGUGUCUGUUGAGAUGGAAUUGAUUUAUAUAUAAUGAGUAAGGAUAGUGGAAUGAGUGAUAUGUGAUAAUGAGCAUUUGGUCUGGCGCAUUGUUAAUGGGAGACAGUAUCUAAUUGCAUGUGGUUAGAAGCUGCCAGAGAAAGCAUGUAAUGAUUAAAAUGGUGCAUGGCAGAUAGAGAUUACGUGUUACACCUACCAAUGAGUUUUACAUGUGUCAUGCAAUGAAAUUAGAAACGAUUGCUGCAUAUUGUGAAGGACAUCUGGAUAUGGCUUUCAUGAUACAGGUAGCAAUAUAGAAGGUACAGGUGUUUAAGUCGGGUGUUGUUGAAGGCUCUAAGCUGGUAAACUCAUUGGAGGUUAGCAAAAUAAAAUUCCUUUGGAUCUGUUAUAAUCUCUUUAUUUCUUAGAUGUAUUUCAAAGCUAGCAAUAAUUUCUGGUCUCUAAAUAAUCAUGACAGCUUGCAUUUGAAUGAGCACUUCUAACCUGUGGGAAUGUCAUACAUUUUAAGGCAUUGGCUGGUGGGACUUUGUGGCUGGAUUUAGUCGCAAGCAAGAUUGCAGCAGAGUAGUGGAUUACUGUUGGAUCUGCUAUAGGAAACAUUACUUGCAGGUCUUUCUUUUAUUCUCCAUUUUGUUUUGAGCAAGUCGUUGGAUGAUAGAUUCCUUUUCUCUCCUUUUUCAUUUUGUUUAGACUUGUAUCCUCAAUGUUGUUUGUUCUUGCAGCAAUUCGGUGAAUAUCUACAUGGGAAUUGGUAUUCCGUGGCUCAUUGAUACAAUAUAUGACUUCAUCGCAUACAAUGAAUUGUUGCGCAUACACAAUGCUGAAGGUACCUGGGGAGAGGAAAUGAAGAGAGAGGCAGCAGCUAGGAGCUGGGAGAUAGUAUCUGGGAGUGGGAGGUCUAAUUCUGAGGGGGGGUUUUGACUUUAUAUUUUUUAUUCUAAUCAAAAUUGGCGAACAGAAUUUAUAAGAAAAUAGAGAAGGUGCUUUUUUAUUUUCCUUUCGACUCUAUUUUUUUCCUCCCCUAAGUAGUUUAUCCAUAUUCAUUUCCUAGUAUAGGGUAUAUAGGGUAGUGAAUGAGAGUUUCUUACCAUGUUCUUAAUUUCCUUAGACUCGUAUCUUCUGUGGUGCGUUGCUAGAGGUGUAAAGGGUGUCAGCUGGCUAUUUAUGCGAGAGAAUCAUUUGUUUUCAAUUUGGACAUCGUUUGGUUACUGCAACUGUUGCUUUAUGUAAUAGCAGCUUUCUUUAACCUUUUUUUUUUUUGAAUUUGUUGUGAUUUGUAAAAGAAUGUCAAGCACCACCUUUGCCAUUGUAGAUCCAGGACUUGCCAUUGAAUCCAAGAUUUUCGUUCCAAUGCUCUAAUUGGUCUUUUGACUUAAAUGAGACUCAGAAAAAACAUGUUAAUUGCAUAUUCCAGUUGAAUCUGGAAUUUUGACAAAGAUGUGUAACUUAUAUUUAAUCAUAAACUUUUUGUUGUAAUCAUGAUUUCUUAAGAAGGAUUUCAUGAUUUUUCGUCAAUAAAAAAAAGCGAUAAGGUGUCACUUGAUUAUAAUAAUGACUGAUGCAGUAGUUCAAAACCUUUUAUGCAGGAAAGUCUUUAGAACCAGAAAGCUCUAAGCAAGGCAAGUAGUUAAGGAGAAAUGAAAGAUGUACGGCUAAUAUUUUCCUAAUAAAGAUGAAAACAUUAUACAGGGAGAACUGGACCGCAAAUACUUGAUUCAUAAGCUGGAGAAUAAACUUACGAAUUUCUAAAAUGAAAACCCUUAUACUUAGUGAAAAUGGCACUUGACAACAAAAGGAUAAAGUGCGACACCAAAACCAAAUGCUCUGUAGAAACAGAAUCAGCCACAAAAAUCAUAUAGCUAUAAACAUAACCUUCCUAUGGCAGUAUAUGUCUAAUGAAUCUUCAAUAUGGUUCAGCUUCAAACAGCAGCAUUUGUACAAGCUGUCGCUGCAGCAGCUAAUGCUGCCCUGCUUCGACUAUUCCAGAUAUGUCGUGGUACGGUAUUAUUUGGACUUCAUAACUUGAUGAAAGCAAAACAAGAUCAGCAGGAAAGAAUUCAUCCUUCUUCACUUUCAUUACAUCUCCAAUUUUCAAAUCGAUGCACUUGAUGUAUUGGAAACUUCUAUGAUUGCUGUAUACUUUAACUAACCUGUUGUUUAUUUCAAUAUCCUGGUAUUAUUCCCAAAUCUUUAUUAUAUACUGGGUGAAAAAGAAAACACGAAAUACAGAUUAAACAAAUCAAAACCAAUUGCAGAUCAGCAAUCUUUAAGCAAUUUAACAACAGAAGAAGGCAGCAAUGGAAAGUUCAAGACUUGCAAAAGGACGAGACAAAUGUGGACAUAAAAACUUUGGAAGUGAUAAAAUUGGGCAAAGAACAUGAGAAAGAAGUGUAUAGGAUGACGAAGUAGGAGCUUUUCUUCCUCCUGAAAGGAAAAUGAGAAUAAGGGAAAGAGGAAAACGAAAAGGGAAGCCAAAGUUUUCUGUGCAUCAUCGUUUUAGAAUUAUUCUAAAAUGUUGUAUCUGGAGAAGCAUUAGCAGAACAGUGCAGUAAUUGAUUACCUACAACAUGUACCUUCUGUUUUUUGAAACAUCAAUGCCACAUUUCGGAACAAAAAUCUUGACUGAUUUGUCAGAGUAACACCUAUGAACUCAGGUAGACCAGCUACAAGAUCAAUGAUGCAUGAUAGUUAGGCUUAUUAAAUUCCCCUUGCAUUAAAAUUCUAGAAAUUAAUUGCAAAAUAUGGUCCAAAACCAUAUAAAAACUACUGGAAAAUUUACUGCAAUUUGACAGAAAAUACUGGGAUUAUUGAUAAGCUACAAUACUUCAAUGUACUCAGAAGGGGCAUUUGAGCUGAGCUCCUGGACACAAAUCCGAUGGUUAUUGAUAAUCUAAGAUCAGAAAUGUCACUUACUUCUGAAUCUCCUCCAUCUUUAUCUUCAGCUUUUCACGCUCAGCUUCAGUAUUAAUGCUCCCUCGAAGUUCCAGGUAGACAGAUACCACUUCGUUUACAACAGAUACUGCACAUCCAGCUGGAGAGACGUCAUUCUCACCUAAAACCUGCACAUUUUGAUCUUUUUAAGGUCACAAGGAUAAGAGAUUGGAAAAGGAUUAAAAAUGCCACAAAAGUAGGGCAAAAGAAGAGGAUCAUUGCAAAAAACUAAUGUUGAAAAGCCUAGCCCUCCAAUUAUAGAAUACUCUAAAGAUUCUUGCCUGGAUAUAUUACUGAUUCUACUGAAACUUUGCUUUUUUCUUUUGACAGCAGUCAUCUUCAGCAACUGUGAGCUUGUUAUGCCAAAUUCAGAAUAUAACUCUAAUAGAGUGAUCAAAUUUUCACUUUUCAGUAGUGAAUAUGCUAUCUUGCAGAAAUAUUGAAGUUUCCUGAUGAAAAUAGACAAAUGGCAACAGAUAAAAGUACGAAUUAGAUUCCAAGAAAGUCAGUUUCUUGGAAGGAAUAGAGAAGCAAAUGGUAAUUCUUGCAGUGUCUGUAAUCAUCAUAGAGAAGGAAUUGUUCUGCAAAAAAUAAUUGCAUUUGAAAUGUUAAAUUUUAGGACAAUAUCAAAAUGCUAUAAAUCAAGUAGGAAAUGAAGAAGUGAUAAAUCCUACACCUUGAUACAGAUUUUUUCAGCUCAUGAAACAUGGAACGGGGAAAAAGGCAAUCCAUGGCAAAUUGUAUUAUAAUUAACAGGACCUGAAGCUAGUAUGGAUAACUUAUUGUUGAUCGAGGAUGACAAAUGUAUUGCACUUGCAGAGGAGUAUGUGUACCUUGCUAAUUUUGCUUACUUAGGAGGGAUAGGCUUGGCAGUAUUGACACUGAUUUUGCCUUUACUUCUAGGAUCAACAACAAUUACAACUUUUUCUUCAUCUUCUAUUCCAGCCAGUUGAUGAAACCUGACUUUGUUCUUGACCAGUCCUUUCUCUGUUAAGAAGUAGAAGAAAGCUCAUGUUUCUUGAUUGUAGACCUUGAGCUGAACAUUUUGUUUUUCCUUCUUCUUUCUUGGAAUGUACACUUUUUGCUGCACUCGUGCCAUCAAACAUAUUAACUAAUAAUGAUAUGAUCAGGCUAUUGGUUGCCGAUGGAUGAUGCUUCAUGAAAAUAGCAGACUUGUUCAUUUGUGAAACAAAUUUGGCAUUACCUACUUUCACAAAGAAAGCAGUAAGGAAGUAUAAACAAAAUAAAUUUGAAAUGGAAAUUAGGAUAAAGAGUUAGAUAACAUACCUUAAUCUGUAUCAAUAUGAAUUGCUAGCAUAUAUUCAUUAAUCAUUCAUGAUUGCAGAUAAGACCUCUUUGUAGACUAUAUUUUUUGUAAGAUUUGUUACUUUGGAAAACAGAUUUGGAGGUCGUAUUAAUACUUUAACAUUACUUGAUGUCCUGCCACGUGAUAAUGCAACAUAUAAUUGGCCAUGGGAGAAAACAGGCUCUUUUAGAUAUAGACCGACAUAAUCCAAUGUUUGUCCUUGUGCUUUAUUAAUCGUCAUUGCAAAACAUAAUCUCAGAGGAAAUUGUGUUCUUUUGAAAGGAACUGAGCAGAAAUCAUCAUCAGAAGUUUGCAAAGGAAUUCGAGGAAUAAAGACAUGUUUACCUUUAAGAGAACCGCAUGCAAUCUCUGCAUGUAUUACAUUGUUUCCAAAUUCUUUGCAUAUCAAUCGGGUGCCAUUAGAUAGGCCUUCAGUAGGGUUGAUGUUUCGAAUCAACAUAACAGGACAAUUAAUCUUUAAUGUUAGCCUAUGAAGAGGUAAACCUUUGGGCAUUAGUGAAUUCAAAAAAUCUUGUGUCUCUGAUUGAUGAGAUGAAUCAAGGACUUCAUCAUAGCUUAAAUAUACCUGUUCUGUACCUGGAAAUUUAGCAAUGACUUUGUUAUUAAUUUCAAAUACAAAAUCAUUUCUCGUCAUUAAAAUUGCAUGGUUAACAAUAGAAUCCGGGCAAUGAGCAAAAGCAUUUAAAUCUGGAAAUACCGCGGUGAUCAAGGCAUCAACUGAUGAAUCAUCAUUGAGAAAUACCAAAUUCAUUCGUUCAGGUACACAGACUUCGUCAUUCUGGUUUGUUGCUUCGAUACCAUUACCAAUUCGAAGAAGGUAUUUAGAGAAAUCCGGAUCUAGCUGAGCUCGCAUGUUCUGGGAUAGUUUCAAUUUUAUCAGGUACGGCCAAAUAGGAGAUGUUAUUAAGCUAGCAUUGACGAUUUCUUCUUUACACCCUUUGGUCACCACUGGUAGUGUUUGUCGAAAGUCUCCACCAAAAACAAUGAUCUUGCCACCAAAUAUAGCAUCUUUAUUCAUGAUAUCUUUUAAUGAAUCAUCAAAUUUUUCUAUCGAACUGCGUUUUGCCAUGCUUGCUUCAUCCCAAAUAAUUACUUUUGCAUCUCUUAUUAAUUUAGCAAUAGCACUUUGCUUCCCAAUAUUGCAAGUUGCUGUAUCAUUAUCUUGUAAUGGAAUUUUGAACCUUGAAUGUGCUGUACGCCCACCAGGUAAAAUUGAAGCUGCAAUUCCAGAUGUUGCAGUUGCUAAUGCUAUGCCUCCUUUCGAUCGUAUUGCUGCAAGUAGAGCCCUGUAUAAAAAAGUUUUUCCAGUUCCACCUGGCCCAUCUAAAAAGAAUGCACAUGAGAUGUUAUUAUCAAUAGCAUGCAUAAUCUUCUCAAAUGCUAAUUUCUGGUCUGAGUUUAAUUGCUCCAAUGCACCAAGAUCUUCAUUAGAUACAACUAUGCUUUUUUCAACAUCAACUUCCUUACUGUUUAGGUCCUGCGACAAUUGUUCAAGCUGAAUGUCAGUUAAAUUGUAUUCAGCAAUGUUUUUUCCCAUAGACCGAAGACUUGAAUCAAUCAGUUGAAGCACUUGUAUUUGCACAGAAUGUGGUCGGACUGAUGUAUUAUGUCGAAUAUCUUCAGAUAAGAAAUCUUCAUAUUUCAACCACAACUCUCGUGGGUUUUUAGGAGUACAAUAAGCCAGUAUAGAUGCAAAGAGUUGUCUAAGAGAACUUGGCAUUUGGUAUGCAGAGGCCUCCUGUAAGCAAAGUUCAGCAGCAUUGUCGGAAUGUAACAGUCCAAGUAAAUUUGCAGCUUCUUUAUAUGUUUGGCAUGCAUAUCCAUUGACAACUUUUAAAUGUUGGAAAGAAGUAGGUUUUCUAACAUGCAUUAACAACAUUCUUAAAUAAUAACGCUCCCCCUCAGUAGGAUGAGCAGUUAAAAUACGACCUAUAACUUCUUUUUUUUUUCGUCUAGUCCAAUAUUUUGAUUGUGCAUUCCAAGUAAAAUGCUCAGGAAACUCUAUAUAUAGACAAUUCAAAUGCUUGGCAUGUUCAUCAUAACAAUUCAUGCUAAAAAACUCUGUAAGCAUUGUUUGUGAGGAACGUGGGUUAUUGAUUAUAUUUUGCAAUGAUUGGUUUUCAUCAAAUGUAACUGAUUGUUUAUUCUCCAAAUGAAGUUGCAAAGGAAUUACCGAUGGAUGUAUUUCAUUUAAGUCAAAUGCAUAGAUUCUCCCAUAGUUAUUAAACCCGGCCCGGCCCGGCGGUCGAACCGUUCGAACCGGUGACCCGGUCAUCAAACCGGGCCGGGUUACUAGUUAGAUCGGAAUUGCAAAGAACCCGUCUAGACUCGUUCGACUCGGACGGUUGAACCAUGGAACCGCUAGAACCGGCGGUUAUUGAUAAAUCCGGUGGGUUUUGGCAAUUUUUUUGAAGUUACCAUUUUACCCAAUUCUUUUAUUUUGACCAUUCACAGUACAUGGGCAUUAUCAUCUUUUCGCUACAUUUUUAGCCAAUUAGAAGAGAAAAUCAGAAAAAUUGAAGAGGGAUUCGGGCAUUUGGGCAUUCGGCCGUCAUUGGGGAUUUAGGCAUUUAGGGAUUCUUUUCUUCUUUGUUUCUCUUGAGAAGUGAGAACGAAUUGAGAUUUGAGAACUUCUUGAGCAUUUAAGGAUUCGGCAAGCAAUGUUCCAAUUUUUCGGCUUUCAAUUUUUCAGGGCUACGGCUUUCAAUUUUUCUUUCCUUUGCUUUGCUAAUUGCUCUAGCCUCUGAGAGUGAAGUUCGAACUUGCCGCAGCCGCUGCUAGAAUUCUUCUAGGAAGCGCCGCUGCCACCGAAGCUGCCAUUGAAGGGUGAAGCUUUGUUGCCGGUUGCAACUGGACACACACCACGGCACCUUGGAAGUUCGAAGUUGCCGCAGCCGCUGCCGCCUGCCAGAAUUCUUCCAGGAAGCGCCACUGCGACCGAAGCUGCCAUUGAAGGGUGAAGCUUUGUUGCCGGUUGCAGCUGGACACACACCACGGCACCUUGGAAGUUCGAAGUUGCCGCAGCCGCUGCCGCCUGUCAGAAUUCUUCUAGGAAGCUGCCGCUGCCACCGAAGCUGCCAUUGAAGGCUGAAGCUUUGUUGCCGGUUGCAGCUGGACACAGACGGACAGACCACAGCACCAGUGAAGCCUUGAAGGUAAGUAAAACGGAAAUUUAACUGAUGACAUGCUUCAAGAAAGUGGAAAUUUAACCUUUGACAUUUUAAUUACGUCUGUUGCCGAAGGCCACGAACCCAUUCUGUUAAAAAAAAGAGGUUGAGCCAUAUUUCACCUUGCAAAUACCUCAAGCCCAAGUUUAACAGCUAAUUCGAGAGUAUUUGAAGCUAAGUAUUCAAGAAUAUCCCUAAUCCAUAAAAAAAAAAUUAAAUCUCAGCUAUUCCUCAAUAUUGGCUCAGCUGAAUUGCAAAAUGUACCACCAAAAAAAAAUGACAGAUAACUGAUGCGACAUAGAUUCUUGCAUUAGCAUGUGACUAUAUUUUAUUUGAGUACAUACAUCGAAUUUCUGCUCUAAAUUAAACCAUGCCAAAUAAUCUGAAUUGAGUUUUGUUUCAACGUUGAUUUAGAUCAAUUGCAUGUGAAUUGGUCUUGCCAAAAAUAAUUAGGAUACGUGAACAUUAGCUAUUCGAUAGAUUAUGUUUAAUAUUAUCCAACAAAAAAUUUAAAAAGAAAGGCAUUGGGAAAGGUUGUGUAACUUGUGUUACAAAAUAAAAUCUAUAUAAGUUUUUUUUAAUUAUUAGUCUUGCACAAUUAAAUUAGUCGAGACACCUUGAAUUACCAAAAAAUUUUAUGAUAUUAAUGGCUAAUAUGCAGCUCGGGGCAAAUAUUUUUUGAUUGCAUAUACAAAGGACAUUCACUUCUUAUAAUAUUUGUAGUAAUAACUCAUAGUACCUUCUUUUCUCUUUUCCUUUUUCAUCUUCUUCUAUAUGUAGUAAGGGAAUGCCAUAUAUAAUUUAGUAGUUUUUCUUUCCAAAAAAAAAAAGUGAUAUGGAGAAAUCAAUAUACAAGAUACAAUAAACAAAGGUUGUUUAAUUCUUCUUGUGAUUCCUCCCAUAGCUUGAAUCUUGAUACCAUAUUUCAUUUCAUUCCCCAAACAUCAAAAUCAUGAAUAGUGAUAUGGAUCCAUCUCAAUCGAACUUUCAAGGGAUAAUGACAGUAAGGCAUUUAGCUUUCCAUUAUGUUUGCAUUUAAGUUUCACUUUUUCACUUUUUCACAGUAAGGCAUUAUAUAAAUGUCAUUUUCCUAGCUAUAAAUGUUAUUUUUUUAAAUAAAAGAUAUGUUUUAUUACUUUUCAGAUAGCUUGUAAUGGACUCUAUUGGAGAAACACCGUCUCAAACACCAAGUACAGAACCAACACCUAGUACAUCAAAUUCUCAAAAUCAACCUCUAACAAGGGGAAAGACAGACCCUGCAUGGUCUCAUUGUAGAGAAGAUUCUGUGUCCAACAAAAAAGUUAAGUGCUUGGUAUGUAUUCAUUGUGGAAAAAGAAUUCGAGGAGGUGGUAUCAAUCGAUUCAAACAGCACCUUGCAGGCUUAAAAGGGGAGACAACACCUUGUCUGAAGGUUGAUGAACAGAUUAGAUUUGAAAUGCUAGAAAACUUGAAAGCUGUGGAAAGCAAGAAAAGAAGCUUGAAAGAACGCUCAAGGGGAAGUGAUUUAUAUGGUCAAGAUCUAAGACAACAUGAAGAGGAGGUAUACAUGCAAGAUGUAGAAGAUUUUCAAGAGAUUCAACCACCUCCCACUAGUGAAGUUUCAAAAGGAAAAAAAGUUCUUCAACAACACAAAAAAGGAAAAACAAUAGGGACUUUUUUUAUGCCAAGAGCUACUCCAGGAGGUCAACCAUCCAUCAAAAGUGUGAUGCAAAGCAAAGAAACUAAAGAGAAGGUUGACUUGGCAGUUGCGAAGUGGAUGAUUGAUGCUUCCAUUCCCUUCAAUGCAGCAAACUCUGCAUAUUAUCAAACAAUGUUUGAUGCUGCUUGUUCUUUUGGGGCUGGUUACAAAGCGCCUAAUUUCUAUGACUUGCGUGGCUAUUUAUUGACAAAAAAUGUUGAGCAAGUUAAGAAUUUUGUUAAUAGCUUUCGUACAAGUUGGAAAGAAACUGGAUGUACUAUUAUGGCUGAUGGAUGGACUGACCAACAAAGGAGAACUCUCAUCAACUUUCUAGCUUAUUGUCCUAGAGGAACUAUUUUUCUGAAAUCAGUUGAUGCCUCGGAUGCUUCUAAGACUGCAGAGAUGUUGUAUAAGUUGUUUAGAGAAGUGGUUUUAUUUGUUGGGGUGGAAAAUGUGGUACACUUCGUCACUGACAAUGCUGCCAAUUAUGUUGCUGCAGGAAGAUUAUUAGAAAGGGAAUUUCCAACACUUUAUUGGUCUCCAUGUGCUGCUCAUUGUCUAAAUUUGAUGCUACAUGAUAUGGGCAAGUUAGAUGAGGUUAGUAAAGUGGUUGGACAUGCUUCAAAAAUAACAAAAUACAUUUAUAAUCAUUGUUAUCCAUUGCAUUUGAUGAGAAAACACACUGGUGGAAAAGAAAUUAUUCGGCCUGCUCCUACACGUUUUGCUACUAAUUUCAUUGCAUUGCAAAGUAUUUUAGUGCAAAAAGAUGCUUUAAGAGCUAUGGUGACUUCAAAAGAAUGGACUCUUUCAGCAUAUGCUAAGGAGAGUAAAGCAAAAAAAUUUGUGGAUCUUGUGCUAGAUUCUAUAUUCUGGAAAGAAUGUGCUAUAAUAGUUCAAUUAACUGAGCCUCUUGUUCGAGUUCUAAGAAUUGUUGAUAGUGAUGAAAGGCCUGCUAUGGAAUACUUGUGUGCUGCCAUGCAUAGAGCCAGAGAAGAGCUUUUGAGAAGAUUCACAAGAAAAAAAAAAACAGUUGAUCCUUAUUUAAGAAUAAUUGAUUCAAGAUGGGAUAGUCAGCUUCACAAAAAUCUUCAUGCUGCAGGUUAUUGGCUCAAUCCUGCUUAUCAAUAUAAUUCUCUUGAUUUGGAAAAGCACAGGCAUGCAACAUCAGGACUUUUGGAUGUGAUUGAGAGAUAUUCUUAUGCAAAUCCUGAUUUGAUGAGUAAUUUGACCGGAGAGAUGAGAUUAUUUCGUAAAGCUGAAGGUGAUUUUGGUAGAGUCUCUGCUAUACGAGAUCGUGAUGUCAUGCUUCCAGGUACCCAAAAAUUAACUUCAUUUUUAUUGAUGAUUUGAUUUUAAUUGUAAAAUAUUAUAUUCUGACUUUUUUCCUUUAUUUAUUGCAAUAGAUGAAUGGUGGACAUGUUAUGGUAGCACUGCACCUAAUUUGCAAAAACUAGCUAUACGUGUUCUAAGCCAAACUUGCAGUGCUUCUGGCUGUGAAAGGAAUUGGAGUUUAUUUGAGCAUAUCCACUCAAAGAAGAGAAAUAGAUUGGAGCAUCAAAGACUAAAUGAUUUGGUUUAUGUACACUACAAUUUAAGACUACAACAAAGGUAAACUACAUUUUGCAAUCUGAUUUUUAUUUUAAUAUGACGACAUUUGUUAUUUAACUAGUUUUAAUGUUUUGUAUUAUUAGAAAUGCAAGGGGUAGAAAUUAUGAUCCUAUUGAUUUUGAGGACUUCAGCGCCAAUGAAACUUGGAUUUUGGAUGAUGAACCUUCACAAUUAACUCCAGUUGAAUUAGAAAGCUUUAGGAAUGAAAUAGCUACAUUUGCUAUCAGCCGACAAAGUGGUGAGUUAUUCUAUUUGAGCCAUAUGCUUGCUUAUUCUUUGUUAGUUUGUUUUUCGUUUUUGGCUAAAUAUUAUCUAAGUUUAGAGAAUAAUUCAUUGAUUUUUGUACUUAUGUAGAUGAAACUCUAAAUUUGGAUGAUUUGGACACUGGAGAUGAAGAUGAGACCAAUAAUGAAGAGAAUGUUGAAAGAAAUGAUCUUAAUGUGGGCUGUGAUGUAAAUGAAUUUGGUGGUACUGAAUUUGGCAGAAGUUGGGAACCAUGGGCAUGAAUAAUAGAUGGAGUGAACUACUCAAGUGAUAAUUGUGGUGUUGUUUAUGUUCAUGACUUUAUGUUUGGUUGUAUUGAAUUGGUCGUUUAUGACUUAUGUUUCAUGGUUUGAUACUUAUAUUUAUCAUUUAUAUUUGUGUGUAAUUUACUGAUUUUAGUUUGAAUUCAUGAAUUGUUGAUCACAUAUGGUUAUGGAUUAUGUGUGUGAAAUGAAUUAUGAACUAUGAACUAUGAACAGGUUAUAACUUGUUGGGAUUUAAGAAUUUCUGUAAUUAUAUUAUAAUUUACAUGUUUAUUUAAUUAUAUUAUAUAUUUUUUUAUUAUAUAUUGUGACCCAACGGUUCAACCAGUGAUCCACCGGUUGAACCACUGACCCGUCAACCCGGUCCUCUUGCCGGGUUGAUGUCCGGGUUGGUUUUAAUAACUAUGGAUUCUCCACAUUGCUUCAGGAGGAGAGACCCAUCUUGCACAAACAAAAUUUUUUAUUUCGUCAACAAUUUCAAUAGGCCCAGUAUUACUCACCUGAUAUAAAAUUUUAUCAUGGCCUUUAUAGAUAUAUUUAUAUAUAUAUUUGACAGCCUGAAUUGUUGAACAAAUUUCUACAUUGAUAUGGCAAUUAAAUUUAGAGAGUAAAUAGGGAUUGUAUGGUAUUACCCAUCGAUUAUCAAGAGGAUGGCCACGAACAAUUAUUGAUUGCUGAAAAUCUCGUCGUCGAUAGAGAGGGUAGGAGUUGUGGCUGUGCCGUGUGAUUUCUGUAAACUCCUUAGGAUAGUUAUCCUUGCAUCCAAGAUGUUGUUUCAUGCAUGGGCAUUUUGGAUUCAUAGCACCACAAGGACCGUGCAUCAUGUGCUUAACAACGAGUUCAUGAAGAUAAGGAUGGCGGCUAGCAUCUGGCAGCUCAGCACAUACUACACGAUCAUAUGAUUCAGGAGAGUACAUCUUCCAUCCUUGUUUCAGAAUUAUUAAGAAAUGAGCGUGGGGCAAACCUCUUUUCUGGAAUUCGAUUACAUAUGUGUAAGCUGCUAUUUUUCCAAAUAUAUUCUUCUUCAGAAGUUCAUCUUUCAAGACUUCAAGUUUUGCACGGAAGACUCGAGAAAUUAGAUCUGGCCUGUUCUCAACUUUAUCAGUUGGCAGAAGCAAUUUUUUAAUCUCAGGCCAAUUCUUGUUACAAGUCAUUGUCAGAAAGAUGUCUGGUUUCCCAUAUCUUUGAACCAAAGACAUAGCAUCCAUAUAUCGGCGUCGCAUAUCUCGAGGCCCACCAAUGAAUGAAGCUGGAAGGAAAAUACGUUUACCAAUACCUGAUGAUGAUGAUUCACCAUUGGAAAUGCUAUCGACUAUGCCUUGAUAAAUCUCAGUUCGAAGUUGAGCCUGUUUGUUCCUCCCUCUAUGGAAAUCUAAUCUAAUUGACUCAAUCUUAACAUACAUAUCGACCACGUAUUGUUGCAGUAAUCUGCCUAUAUGCAAUAACAUUGACUGAUCAGCAUCUCGAAUUUGCAGUUUGUAACAAUAGUACUCACGACAUGAAACCGUGUUCCGUUUUCUUUUUUUUUGGUUAAUAGCUGAAACAAACAAAUAAUGAUAUUUAUGUUAUUUAUCGAUAAAGAAAGAUAAUAGACGAUGCUAUAUGGAGAUGAUUAUUGGUAAUACCUCUAUUUUCCGCAUCAAUGAUAUCAUUUGCCGUUGUUGCUGUAGCUGUAGCUAUAACAGUUUGUCCCUCACAAGUAACUGGUCUAAUAUUGCCUCUAUCCGGACGGCGCAUUCUCUCAAUCCCUGGAUGCCAACCUGGUUCUCCAUUUGCAAAGAUAAGAGGAUAUUGCAAUGAAUCAUGACAAGCAAAGUAAUGCUUAACAAUUUGCGUUUGACCAUUCUUUCCAUAAAUUUGUAUAUGUUUAGAGUUAAGAUGUUCAAAAUCUGAACUAUCAGUCCAAACAGCUCCUACUUGUGACACAGUAGGUUUAUUGAAAACUCGUUGAUCUAUAGCAGGCGUAGUUUCAAGCACAAUCUUAUAAUCAUCCAUGUCUGGCAAAUCUUGUAAUCCUCGAAAGAAUGCAGAGUAAGGAUUGAUCUUUAAAAUUUCCUCAAGCUUUGUCACCAGUGUUUCUUGAAAUCUAGCUGAAAUUGAAAGCCGCUGCGUUGUUUCAUGCUCAGUGUCAAAAAAAUAAAGCUGCAAGUUUCGUGGCUUCUCACCAUCCUCUGGAAUAAGCGCAUUAAUAUAAUGAUACAUUUGUCCUUGGAUUCGAAAUGUAUAAAUUCCAUUAUAAUUUGCAGCCAAAGAUUUGUCAGAAUGAAUACCAAUCGAGGUAAAUGCAAACAUAUUAUUAUAGCUUCUAACGCAUCUGCGAAACUCGACAGCAUGAUCAGAAUCUUCAAUAUAUAAUAACAUAAGCUCUCGCGGCAUCUCAGUAGAUAAUAGCUGUAUCUCACCAGAGGAACAGCAAAAACCAGGCGGUUCGUGAUGAAAUCGUUUUGCAUGACAGUACGGACAAUUUGGAACAUCAGGCAAUACUGUGGGCUCAAUAGCUAUCGUGGCUAACGGAUCAGUAACAGAGCGUCUUACAGAUCGACGUUUUCUACGUAAUGGUGAUUGACCAAUACCUAUAUUAGUUGAUGAAACCUCGUUAGCACUAUCAACAAUAGAGCUAGAUACAUUUUGUUCAUUUUCCUGCAAUACAACGACAGCAUAGUUAAAGAUUGGGAGUUUAACACGCUUAAAUAAGUCAAUCUGAUCUGUAAUAGAUAAAAGCUAACAUCUCAUACCAUUGGAAAUUGCUCUGCAUUAUUCUGUGUAGAUGGCAGCACUGGGUCUGAGCCUAAUGAAGAUUCUGCAGCACUCAUAUUUGGCUGAUUAAUAGUAUUUGGUUCACGUAUAUUAAAAGCUGUGACAGCCAGCGUACACACUCCUGAUGGCACAUCAUUUUUUCUCCUUUGGCGAGCAGCAGCACGUUGGUCGCGUCUCUUUCGAUUUUUCUCAGCAUUAGCCUCUUCUAAACUUUUAUAUAUUCUAUUCCGACCCAUUGUCCAAACAUUAAUCUACAGAAACCAUCAGAAAAUCAGCUAAGUGAGACAAUAAAGAUUUUACCUUGCAAAACCACAAAUCAUUGAGGACACCGUCUACUGCCUACUCACCAGUGGAGGCAAAGCAAUCGCAAUUACACAAGAGAUUGGGAAACCAAUUUCACCUUGCAAAACCACAGAUCACUGGGGAGCCAAAGCAACUGUAAUUACACAAGAGAUUGGGAAACCAAACAUACACGUGAGAUGAAAUCUUACAUAUAUAAAGCGUCAAUAGGAAACUUUAGAAAACUUUCCACGGCAUUUCUUAAGCUGCUAAACAAAACUAAGAAGAAGAACAGAACCUAAGAAGAAGAAAAAAAGCUAGGAGAAAAGAAAGGAUAUAGCUGACCGACCAACCGCCCACUAACUAAUAGUAAUUGCUGACUAUCAAAAUGGAGAGCCACAUGGACAAAGCAAAGCUACAAUUGAGGAGAGUCAGCAGACAAAAGCAAAAUGCCCAGCAAAGCUACAAUGCAAGAGAGCCAACAGACAAAAGCAAAAUGCACUGCCACCCAUCAGCAAAAGACCAAACCAACCGCCCACUAACUAAUAGUAAUUGCUGACUAUCAAAAUGGAGAGCCACGCGGACAAAGCAAAGCUACAAUUGAGGAGAGUCAGCAGACAAAAGCAAAAUGCCCAGCAAAGCUACAAUGCAAGAGAGCCAGCGGAUAAAAGCAUUGCCACUAAAUGGGAAAAGACCAAAGAACCCCUCAAAGUCACAAAAAUAAGGCGUAAUAUACAUAAAGCAACAAGUGAAGACUAUUGAAAACUUUGCAAAACCAGAGAUCACUGGAGACACCGUCCACUGCCUACUCACCAUCGGAGGCAAAGCAACUGCAAUUACACAAAAGCUUAGGAAACCAAACAUGCGUGUGAGGUGAAAUAUACAUAAAGCAAAGAAUGAAGACUCUAGAAAGCUUUUGCCGCCCAACCGCCCACUAACUUAAUAGUAAUUGCUGACUACCAAAAUGAAGAGCCACGCGGACAGAGCAUUGCUGACUACCAAAAUGAAGAGCCACGCGGACAGAGCAAGGUUACAAUGCAAGAGAGCCAGCGGACAAAAGCAAAAUACCAGCAGAGCCACUGCCACCCAUCAGCAAAAGACCAAAACGCCCC
This 20445-nucleotide long non-coding RNA is filed under the name Coffea arabica (coffee). RNAcentral's name for it is "long non-coding RNA (CARA_LNC001655)". Lineage: Eukaryota; Viridiplantae; Streptophyta; Magnoliopsida; Gentianales; Rubiaceae. The record is from RNAcentral.